This 407-nucleotide ribosomal RNA is filed under the name uncultured bacterium. RNAcentral describes it as "bacterial SSU rRNA". It matches the Rfam family "Bacterial small subunit ribosomal RNA", at positions 32 to 417 of the family's 1533-position model. The record is from RNAcentral.
AAUCAACGCUGGCGGCGUGCCUAACACAUGCAAGUCGAACGCGAAAGCCCCUUCGGGGGUAAGUAGAGUGGCGUCCGGGUGAGUAACACGUAGGUAAUCUACCUUCGGGUGGGGAAGUAACUCGCCGAAAGGACGAGCUAAUACCGCAUAAUGCAGCGGCACCUAAUGGUGAUUAGUUGUUAAAGCGGGGGAUCGUAAGACCUCGCGCCUGAAGAGGAGCCUGCGGCAGAUUAGCUAGUUGGNGAGGUAAUGGCUCACCAAGGCUUCGAUCUGUAGCUGGUCUGAGAGGACGGCCAGCCACACUGGCACUGACACACGGGCCAGACUCCUACGGGAGGCAGCAGUGGGGAAUCUUGCGCAAUGGGCGAAAGCCUGACGCAGCGACGCCGCGUGAGGGAUGACGGCCU